UAGGGAAUCUUCGGCAAUGGGGGCAACCCUGACCGAGCAACGCCGCGUGAGUGAAGAAGGUUUUCGGAUCGUAAAGCUCUGUUGUAAGAGAAGAACGUGUGUGAGAGUGGAAAGUUCACACAGUGACGGUGACUUACCAGAAAGGGACGGCUAACUACGUGCCAG
RNAcentral lists this ribosomal RNA (165 nucleotides) under uncultured bacterium. RNAcentral describes it as "partial 16S rRNA". It matches the Rfam family "Bacterial small subunit ribosomal RNA", at positions 355 to 511 of the family's 1533-position model. The record is from RNAcentral.